UUAAUUGAAACCAAAAAGAGGUUAAUUAUUGUUAAUAAUUUUAUUGAAUUUAAAAUUCCAAUUAAA
Molecule: transfer RNA, 66 nt
Filed under: Parnips nigripes
Lineage: Eukaryota; Metazoa; Arthropoda; Insecta; Hymenoptera; Figitidae
Description: tRNA-Asn
Source: RNAcentral